AUUCCAUGAUGAUGACAUUUCCGAAGAAGAUCCUUGAAUCUCUCUCAUGCAUCUGAAACCACUUCAUCUUCUUCUUGAGGCAACAUUAAAAUCUCAUUUCUAAAUUU
Cynara cardunculus var. scolymus (artichoke) is the source of this 107-nucleotide small nucleolar RNA. NCBI's taxonomy places the organism in Eukaryota, Viridiplantae, Streptophyta, Magnoliopsida, Asterales, Asteraceae. The record is from RefSeq and is a predicted model, not a curated record.